This 171-nucleotide ribosomal RNA is filed under the name uncultured marine bacterium ST3. RNAcentral's name for it is "partial 16S rRNA". It matches the Rfam family "Bacterial small subunit ribosomal RNA", at positions 338 to 525 of the family's 1533-position model. The record is from RNAcentral.
CCUACGGGAGGCGCAGUGGGGAAUUUUCCGCAAUGGGCGAAAGCCUGACGGAGCAACGCCGCGUGAGGGAUGAAGGCCUCUGGGCUGUAAACCUCUUUUAUCAAGGAAGAAGAUCUGACGGUACUUGAUGAAUAAGCCACGGCUAAUUCCGUGCCAGCAGCCGCGGUAAUA